UCAGAUACAAGCGGAAUUUUAUUAUCUAACAGAAUCACAGAUAAAUGAAAUAGCUGACUUGAGCUUUCUGAUCGAGAGCCCCGUGGCCAUGGAUAUCAAGAAGAGUCACAGAUCCAGGUUCCUCUCAGAGCAAGUAACCUUCUUGAAGUUUUAUGGAGGCCAGAAAUAAAAUAUCACAUCCAGCCAGCCACAGAAUUGCGGCUGGACCUCUGUACAUGAGUUUCCUUGAGAGGGGACCCAACUUGGAUUAACAAAUGAGCAUGAGAGCCAUCUCAAGUAUACCGGAUAAAUCACAGGCAUGAAUUUUAACAGCCUUUCUGCAAGCUAGCUCUACAAGCUUUGUCACUCCAUUUUCUAGCCAAUGUUUUCCCCUCCAAGAGUUUGUUGACUGCCUAGUGCCUAAGCUCUAUGCUAGAAUUAAACAAUUCACACUUGGGAAAAGGACCAAUGUGGGACUAGAAAGAAUCCAAGGGCAGAUCAAGUCAUCAUAGGAAUGUUUUAUUUAUCAAAUAUAUUUAUGUUUCUUGGCCAAUUAUCUCUAAAUGUGUUUUUCAUUUAAACACAAUCGAAUCCUGGUAGAUUCUGUCAUAAGAGUACAGUUGCAUGCAUGAGUUCAUUGGUUCUUGGUAGUUUUUUAAGACGUGAGUUUCAUAAGUUUCUUUAAAAAAAAAAACAAGCAAACUGUUCACCACUCUAAUGCCAGGAUAAUUGUUCUUGCCACAUCAGUGGCCUCUAGAGCAAGGGAUUCUCAUCAUUCACAGUAAGCUUCUCGUCAUUCUCUUGACUGAACUUGUUAAAACUUUUCAAACCUCAAAAAUCAAGACUGAAAUAGAGCCCUAACUCUAGCAUUUUCUUUGUGGGGAAGCUGAAGAGAGACAUAUUUUUAUUUCAGUGAGAACAUUUACAGUAAAUUUUAAUUAGCAUAUGAGGGAAAUCUAUACAAUGCCUUGAUAGCAACUAAAUAUCACACUUUUAUUCAGUUCCGUUCCAUUGCCCAGUCGUGUCUGACUCUUUGCAACCCCACGGACUGUAGCACACCAGGUUUCCCUGUCCAUCACCAACUCCCA
RNAcentral lists this long non-coding RNA (1067 nucleotides) under Capra hircus (goat). RNAcentral describes it as "lncRNA (ENSCHIG00010011322.1)". Lineage: Eukaryota; Metazoa; Chordata; Mammalia; Artiodactyla; Bovidae. The record is from RNAcentral.